GAUGAACGCUGGCGGCGUGCCUAAUACAUGCAAGUCGAGCGAAUGGAUUAAGAGCUUGCUCUUAUGAAGUUAGCGGCGGACGGGUGAGUAACACGUGGGUAACCUGCCCAUAAGACUGGGAUAACUCCGGGAAACCGGGGCUAAUACCGGAUAACAUUUUGAACCGCAUGGUUCGAAAUUGAAAGGCGGCUUCGGCUGUCACUUAUGGAUGGACCCGCGUCGCAUUAGCUAGUUGGUGAGGUAACGGCUCACCAAGGCAACGAUGCGUAGCAGACCUGAGAGGGGGAUCGGCCACACUGGGACCGAGACACGGCCCAGACUCCUACGGGAGGCAGCAGUAGGGAAUCGUCCGCAAUGGACGAAAGUCUGACGGAGCAACGCCGCGUGAGUGAUGAAGGCUUUCGGGUCGUAAAACUCUGUUGUUAGGGAAGAACAAGUGCUAGUUGAAUAAGCUGGCACCUUGACGGUACCUAACCAGAAAGCCACGGCUAACUACGUGCCAGCAGCCGCGGUAA
Molecule: ribosomal RNA, 515 nt
Filed under: uncultured bacterium
Lineage: Bacteria
Description: partial 16S ribosomal RNA
Rfam family: Bacterial small subunit ribosomal RNA
Source: RNAcentral